GGAUCGGGUAACUUAUUUUAAUGAAUUCCCAACCAUCAUGGGAGGAGCUUCUCCACACCACGCAUUGCCCUGACACCAACCAGGCCGGCUGCCCAGGAGGCACCACGCACCCAAUGCACUCCCCUAGUGCUACCAAUGCUACAGGCGGUGCAGCAGCACAGGAUGGUUCAAGGAAGACAAAAAGAACAAAGAUCACAGACACUGCAGAUACACAGCAGGCAGACAUCAGGGAAGGCUCAGGAACUGACAGCGUCUUUGGACCCACACAGACAGGAAUCUUUUUGGAUAAAAAGACGCAGAUUAUUGCAGGAAGUCUGAGAACAAUGCUUGACUAUUUAAGGACAGCAGUGUUUCCUUUCUGAACAUCAGCAUCAUUAAUUUGCUUUGGAGUCCAGCCAGAUUCCAUCUGAUGCCUGCUCUCCUGUUAAGGUGGAAAAGUAUGCACAAAAUCUUGCUCAGUGUUACCCAGACAUAAUGGCCUAUAUGUCUACUCGCAUGCAUUACAUCUUUGUAAUCUGUCCAUGAUUGCCACAAGAUAUUAGAGCAGUAUAAAAAAGCUCAAAAAGCUACACAAUUCCUGGGUGAAAAAAGGGUCAUUGAGGAGCAUUAAAAUCAAAUGCUGGUGAUUACUGCAGCUGGGAAGGUGCUGCCUGACCACUUUUGCCUUGUCCCAGUACUUCCAUUUCAUCCUGCAGCACAUUGUGCCCAUCUGCAGCCUUACCGGCCACACAGAGCUUCCACCCCCCACCAUAAACACAGAGAAAAAAGCACAGAUGUGGGUGACAAGUCGUGGGCCAGUCGUUAAAGGAUAAAUUACACAGGAUUGAGAAAUUCACAGGAAAGGAUGGGGUAAGAGCCCUUUGCACAAGGAGUUAAAGAUUAUUUCCAAACAUUAACUGCAGUAACAGAAAUCACAAUUGCUUUGCCAGUCACACGCAACACCAGAAAGUCCAAGCCUUUCUCUGUACGUCAAACCUGCAGCAGAGCAGACCAAGUAACACUCUCCAUUAACUGAUUGGAUGGAGCGGCUUGGCAUUUAUUCUGCUGGGGGCAAGGUGCUUUUCUCCAGUCUGUAAUUAUUUUUUUUUUUAAAUCCUUGCCUCUACCCAAACACACGUCUCCUGCCCAUGUGCUAAAGAGCUUAAUUUCCCCUUCAUUUUCCCCUCCAACUGCUUCUAUUCCUUAUGUCAUCGCUGAUGACAUAGUUUGCUCUAGGCCCUUGGUAACCAAGUGCAAAACAGGUAUUCAAAACACAGGCCACUUCCCUGGCUGAGCAAGGGUUUGUUGCGGGGCAGAAAAACUAAAUGCUUAAAAGUUACCUGGUUGAGUAAAGAUCACACUGGGUGUCUGAAGAGCAUCGUUCCCAGCCUGCCUGCCUUCUGCAAACCCCACACGGACUUAAGGAAUGGGGUGACCACAACAACACGUCAUCCUGCUCAUUCCUGGCCCUCGGAUCCGUGUGAUGCGACUGUCACCCCAAAGAUGCAUUGUGCUCAAUGGCUCUGUAACAGACAAUGACCAACAGAUGUUCAGCACCAUGCUUUAACCCUCCUGUCCCCGGCACUGCAACGUCUCCCAGAUGUGGGUCUGCCCUGAUUGCUCCCAGUAACACAACGCACACCUCCAGCUUGACGUCUGAAGCAUCUUCACGGAGCGCACGGUGCGUGCUUCAGCACGCUGGCUUCAUGGGAGCAGCCUGCACUGGGGCUGGAUGCUGACGCGCUGUGCAUGCCCUUGGUAGGGGAGAAGGGCAGCGAGAUGCCAGAGAUCCCACAACUCCAAUAUGCAUGUGAGCUCAAA
Molecule: long non-coding RNA, 1800 nt
Organism: Numida meleagris (helmeted guineafowl)
Lineage: Eukaryota; Metazoa; Chordata; Aves; Galliformes; Numididae
Exons: 3
Source: RefSeq, a predicted model, not a curated record